UAGGGAAUCUUCCGCAAUGGGCGAAAGCCUGACGGAGCAACGCCGCGUGAGUGAUGAAGGUCUUCGGAUCGUAAAACUCUGUUAUUAGGGAAGAACAAAUGUGUAAGUAACUAUGCACGUCUUGACGGUACCUAAUCAGAAAGCCACGGCUAACUACGUGCCAGCAGCCGCGGUAAUACGUAGGUGGCAAGCGUUAUCCGGAAUUAUUGGGCGUAAAGCGCGCGUAGGCGGUUUUUUAAGUCUGAUGUGAAAGCCCACGGCUCAACCGUGGAGGGUCAUUGGAAACUGGAAAACUUGAGUGCAGAAGAGGAAAGUGGAAUUCCAUGUGUAUCGGUGAAAUGCGCAGAGAUAUGGAGGAAAACCAGUGGCGAAGGCGACUUUCUGGUCUGUAACUGACGCUGGUGUGCGAAAGCGGGGGGAUCAAACAGA
Molecule: ribosomal RNA, 429 nt
Filed under: Actinomycetes bacterium
Lineage: Bacteria; Bacillati; Actinomycetota; Actinomycetes
Description: Actinobacteria bacterium partial 16S ribosomal RNA
Rfam family: Bacterial small subunit ribosomal RNA
Source: RNAcentral